This is a long non-coding RNA of Mustela putorius furo (domestic ferret), 2608 nucleotides long. NCBI's taxonomy places the organism in Eukaryota, Metazoa, Chordata, Mammalia, Carnivora, Mustelidae. The record is from Ensembl.
AUGAGAAUGCAGUGGUCACCGCUGCUUUGUCACUGUGUGGUCACCGCUGCGUUGUCACUGUGUGGUCACCGCUGCGUUGUCACUGUGUGGUCACCGCUGCGUUGUCACUGUGUGGUCACCGCUGCUUUGUCACUGUGUGGUCACCGCUGCGUUGUCACUGUGUGGUCACCGCUGCGUUGUCACUACGUGGUCACCGCUGCUUUGUCACUACGUGGUCACCGCUGCUUUGUCACUACGUGGUCAUCGCUGCUUUGUCACUACGUGGUCAUCGCUGCUUUGUCACUGUGUGAGCGAAACCAAGUGCCCGAGAAGAGGGCCAAGCUGGGGGAGCACGGCGGGGAUACGCAGCCAGGACGAUGCAGGACGGUGAUGUCACGCGUGUCCCUGAUCAGUCUGCUCUACACCGGACUUCUCACUCCACUUUGGCUUGGGACCUUCUGGGUUGGGUUCUCCGUCAUCCGGAGCCGCGGGACUCCUGACUCACCUGCGAUUCUCCGUCUCUAGCAUUUCUGAGUCGGGGAUUGAAUUCUCUCUCUCGUGGAUGGCUCUGCAGCCCCCCUGCUGACCUCUCCUGCUGGAAAGUUUCCGGCAAGUUCCGUCCUCCACACAGUUCUUAGAAUGACCUGCCUCACGCACAAAUCUGAGCAUGUCAUGACCCUGCUUAAAACAUUAUCCGGUUACAGAAUAAAGAUCAGUAUCUCUAACCUUGUGUGUGAAGUUCUGCAAGGUAGAGCCCCCACCUAGCUCUAGGACCUACUUUAUCUCCAUUUUCUCCCUCUUAGUACUUGUCUACGAAUGGCGCUGCACAGCUUACAGUUCCCUCACAGACACACUGUGGUGUUUUCCAAUGCCUUCACUUUACUCCAGUUCUUCCUUUGCCUAGAAUACCCCUUUUAACUUGGCUUAUUCAUUCCUUUCUUAAGAAUCAAACUGCACUUAGGAAACUCUCCUGACUCUCCUCCCGCACUCCACAAAACCAGUUAGGUGCUGCUCAGCUGUGCUUGUAGAGACCAGUCACUCCUUUUACCGUUGUGCUUACCGGGUAGCUCGAAAGAGUUGUUCCCUCUAAUCAGCCCGCUCCCCUCCAGCCAUCCAACCACCUGUACUUGUGACUGUACAUUAUUUUUCUUUGCAUCUCUAGAACCCCAAUACAUUCUUAAUAAAAAAUACCCAAUAAAUGUGUGUUGAACAAGGUAUAAACAGAAAAGUACCACCUUGCUAUUUGGCUCUUAUGUUAAAGGACUUUGUAGUUGAGCAAAGACCGUGGAAAUACAUUUUCAAAGAAAUCAAUAUUAAAGAGAGUAGAUAUUUCAGUAAAUAAAAUGUAGGAUCGAAAUAAACUCUCUCAGGUCCAGAAGUGAAAAACAUCACCGCUGACUUUCUUUCAACCACUUCAGAAACCGUGGUAUUAAAUUCUUCAGAAGAGAGUUGGGUACGCUGGCCAAUUUGACAGAGGUUGAAUUUGUACAUCAACUUAAAAACUAAGUCUACCCUAAUCUUCCACUGCAGAUGAAUAUAUCUUACUAUUCGUCAAUUAAAGUCAAAAUGACACUUCUGUUUUCAAUUGAGCGCAUGUAUUGCAUUAAAUUUUCCUAACACCAUUAUAGCUUACGCACAGCCUAAUGACUACAGUAUAUUCCAAUUUUACAAGAACAGGAAGUACAGAGCCUAUUCUAAAUUAUAUUUGAGAUGAAUCCCUUUCCAUAUGGCCAUAGGAACUGUGUCUUUUGUCCCUUUGCGGUUUUCCUUUCCCAUUUGGGAUUUUCUUCUCUCUUCUCUUUCCUCAUUUCAUUCACGGCACAAGCCAGUGGCUUCCUGGCUUCCAGGUUCUCCAACUCCCAGCCCCAAAUACUCAAUGCUCAUUCUUCAUCUCAGUGCUGUUUCGCUACAUUGUAGAUCAGUGUCUGUGUCAAAAUUUGCAGGAUUUCUGGGUAAGGUGAAAGAGAAGAAACUCUGCGGUGGUUGUUCCCAUGAACCUAUCCUUUGUCCAGUGUUAAAACAACCCAACUCUAGUACUGGAUUGACUGGGAGCACCCUCAGCUGAGUUGUGUAGAGUGGGGAAUUGAGAUCCUUCUCCCAUUAUGUCAGUUUUCAUUAAGGUCAUUUUUCUAACCCUGGAUAUACUAUGCACCAAGUUAGCCUAAAGAAAAAGCCUUAUCAGCUCUCCACUCAUAAUUUUAAAUCUUUUUUGACAAAACUGUUAUGUGUGUGUUGAUUCACAGGAGCAGAAUUGCCUAAGUUUUCAAAUGGAAGUUAAAUGUGAUGUGAGGGACCGUGUGAUUAUGUGGCUUUCCAGCAGAAAUUUAACUACAGAAAACAAAAUUAUAUAGGCAUAUAUGUAAAGGAAAAAGGUUGAAAAUGUUGCAAAUACCGUAUGCCUACGAUUCAAAAAGAAACCAUCAUUGAGUAAUGCCUACCGAAGAGAUUCAUGAUUCAUUUUUUAUAGUGAACCAUGUAUUAUUACAAAGCAUAUCUCCCACAAUGUAUACCUUUUUCCUAAACUAACAAAAUAUAAUACAGUGCCUCAAAUAAUAUUCAUUUAUCAGAACCACUUGAUAAAUAUCUCUAUUAUUUUGUGAAAAACUAUAGAGGAAAAUUUCCCUGUAUA